UCUCAGGGCACUGGACCCACAAGGAGGAGAACCUCUCGUUGGCUGCCCAGCACGCUUCUUCUAAAGGAGUUCAGCAUACAAUAUGCAAAGAGUAAAGUCACCGUGAUAUUUUGCUAAGGUACUUCUUUGCUGUUUGCUUGCUGGCGUUAUUGGGGUUUAAGAAGCUAAAAAGAGAGUGGCCGCAAUCAGUGCUCUUCGUUUGACUUCCUACAAAGGCAUAGUUACCUGAGGGGCAAGAGGAUCGUUGCCCUUUAAUGUUUCUAUUGCAGGGUGUUUCAUGGGUCUCGCACAAUCCACAGCUGGAGUCCAUUAUGAAGAAACACCAAAGAUGAUACCAGUUAAUCAUUCCUGAUAUGGUGAGCACUGAAAAACAGCAGCACCUGUGAAGAAGCAAAAGGCAAUCUGCUUCAGGAGCUCCCAGAAACACUUGUGAGUCAUGGGCUUGAAAUUUGGCCCCUUCCACUUAGCACCAAGAGGAAUGUCUUCUCUGCCAGAUACAGAUUAUCAUUUCUUGCUGGCUUUGAACGUAUUGGUACAUGAGACAGAGACCAGUCUCCACUGACUCCAUGAUCAUUUACUGAAUUAAUUACCCUAUGACUGUAGCGAUUCAAAUCCAGUUCCCACCUGCUCUCUCCCUCCCAUACUAACCUGCCUAUAUCUCCAGGCUGUAUCUGUUAUCCUAUCAGCAUUCGACAACGUAGGAUACCUUGUGCUUGAAGGUUUGGAGGAAACUGUCAUUCAUGAGACACUUCUGUACCUGCAAACACGUUCUUCCUGGAGACUGUGUGUUCUCUCUGAAGAGAGAGCUGAUUUACAAGGAAAGACUAAUCAACUAAUGUUAGAAGACUAACAACAUUCAACUGCAACAACAUAUGGCAUUAGGAAUACUGCUUGAAUAGGGAGUUUCAGAUGAAGCUCAGAAUUCCACCUAUGUUUCUGCCUAGAAUUGCAGCACAUGCCUCUUAAUGCACAUCUGCUUUUGUCUGCAUAUUCUAGUUAUAUUUAGGCACUUGCAUAACUAAAC
Molecule: long non-coding RNA, 1024 nt
Filed under: Anser brachyrhynchus (Pink-footed goose)
Lineage: Eukaryota; Metazoa; Chordata; Aves; Anseriformes; Anatidae
Description: lncRNA (ENSABRG00000011256.1)
Source: RNAcentral